Chiroxiphia lanceolata (lance-tailed manakin) is the source of this 2752-nucleotide long non-coding RNA. RefSeq lists it as uncharacterized. NCBI's taxonomy places the organism in Eukaryota, Metazoa, Chordata, Aves, Passeriformes, Pipridae. The transcript has 7 exons. The record is from RefSeq and is a predicted model, not a curated record.
CGGAGGCUCCGCCUCCUCCCCCAGGGGCGUCAGGGGGGAGGCGGCGGGAAUGGAGGCGGCUGGGAGUGACUUGAGUAGUCAUUUAUGGCAUCAUUGUUCUCAUGAAGAAUUCUCACUUCUUUCAAAUAGUCUUAAAAUCUGUGGACAUCUCAAGGACUGGAAUCUGAAUUUGGAUUUCACUGCACGUUAGCUUUUUGAUUUGUCUACUAGCAACUACAGAAAAUUAAUUAAUUUAACUACAAAUACCAAUGGAUUUGCAUUCUGUCAGUGCACCCGCACAUCACCUCAAGGACAUCACAACAUGCCGCUGUGCUUUUUUUUAGCCCAGAUUGCCUGGUCUGGUGGAAAUAUUUCAGGUGGAGAUGCACAGGUGCAAGCUCUGCCAUUUAAUAAGGAGGAUCAAAAGUAAGAUCAGGAUGCACCUGGUUCAAAUGUGCGAGACAGAUAUGGCAGGUCGAAUUUCAGGGUAUCCUAAAAUGGACAAAAGUGAAAAUGAGUCAUAUAGCAUGGGAGAUGAAAAUAAUGAAAGCAAAUAAACUCUUGCAAAAAAUAACUGUCCUGUUGCCUGUGUAUCAGAUGCCUCAAAAUAUGAGUCCUCACUAUUGUAACAUGAACCUGAGCAUAAUCCUCAUGCCUCUCACUCCUGUGAACACCUUGUUUGGAGAAGCAGCAGCUCGUUUGCAGCUUGAGGAGCCCUGCAGUGCUGACUUCUCUCCUAUAUUCCAAGAGAAAGGAUGGAGAAGCCCAGUCUGUGAGUCUUAGCAUCUCUAUCAUUUUACAGUGUUAGAACUCAGACCUUUGCUGGGCAGGUAAAAAACACUAAAGCUGAAUCGAGGUGUAAACACUACAACAAAAAUAGCUGCAAGCUUGAUGUGAAGGGUCAGCUCGUUCUGUGGAAGAUGCUUGUGCCUUAAAGCUGGGUUCUGAGAGAAGGCAGCACUUUUGCAACAUGUGCAAUAGAGCACUAGAGCCAAAAGAUGCUGAGCGAAUCCAUUGAAAGGGUCAUGAUGUGGAUCGUGGUUUUAAAUGUAUUUAUUGUCCCAUGACCAAGUGGAUCUUAAUGGAAAAUCAUUGAAAAAUCACACAAGCGGAUAAAAGAAACCUACCAGUGCCUCAUCUGCGAAAGUGCUUGUAUGUCACAAGAUGCCUGGAGAGUGAAUAAAAACAACCAUUAGAGGAAACCUCGUCCCAGUGCGUGGUAUAUCUGUCGUCUUCUGAAACUGAGCAGAUAAGAAAUCUUCAUGUAGCUUGCUUACCAUUAUUGGGAUAUGGUUAGAUGUCCACACAGUGAUUUUACCAGUCCUGUUACAUGUAGACCCUUAAGGGUCACUGGCUUCAGCUCCAUCACAAUAUCCUUACAUGUGUUGGUGGUGCCUUGGCCACUGAACCAUUCUGGAGAAACUGUUGUACACUGAAUUGGAGAGUCAGUUUACGUAAUUUAUUUGUUAAUUGGCAAUCCAGAGAAGCAUUGAAGGAGCAUGUGGAAAAUCACAGAACUUCUACAUCAGUUUUGUCUUCAUUUUGGGACCAAAUAUUCAAAACCAGACAUCAAAUGAGUGGACAUCACAAACAAAUCCAUCAUAAAAAACCAAACCCACAAAUGAAAGAGAGGGACAGAAGAAAGAAGCCUGAAGAUAAUCCUGUGUGCUCCAACACAAAGCAACUAGAAAGAAGGAUUCAACUUAAUUUAAAUGUAAUACCUACAAUAGCCCCCCUGAAGUGCAAACUCCUGAAACCAGCAAUUAGCCAUAGUACCUGCCCGUGGCUGUCUCUUAAUUCUUUCUGCUGAAGGCCCUGGCCCCGCAUCAGAACUCCAGUUGUGGUGAGCUCAAUUGCACACAGCUCCAGCCAGCUGUGUGUCCUGCAGCACAGAAUGCACAGCUGAUGGCAGAAUGGCCUGGAGACAACACUGCCAUGCUGACUGCGACUCCAAGCACACGGGCUGUACCACCACACAUUGCUCCGGUAUGCCAAACAUUCAGAAGAAGAGCUUGGACCUUCACAUACACUGACCUCACACUGGUGAGGUAUUUGGCUGUAGUUUUUGCUGCUCUUCUUUCCCUGGCAAACAACUUCUCUGAAAACAUAUUAGGAAAUAUUACCUGUGUUCAGGAACCUCAUUAACCACUUCCCAACCCAUCUUUACCUUCAAAUUACUCCUUGUGGAACAUUAGGUUCUUCAUGCUUAAACUUCCACCUGAGCAUCCCAGCAAAUAAAGAAGCUGUUGGCAUGGUCAGGCUUUUGUGCUGAAAGCCAAGGAUUAUCUGGAAGAAGAGAAGAAAUGGUCCUUAUGUGGCAAUUGAAAGAACUUAGUAUGGUCUUUCCAAAGUACUUUGUGUGCAGUAUGGUACAGGUGGUAACUUCAGUGUGCUGAAAGUAUUGUGGAGAUUUAUCUUACACAAAGGUUGGACAUGUUGAUUUUUGGUCUGGUUACCUCUUGCUCAUACAUUCUGCUUACUUACUAAUGAAGAGUUUGACAUUUCAAGACAGAAUCUGUUGAAAAGCAUCAAAGCUAACAGUGAACCCUACAGGUGGUUUGUGUAUUACAUCUUUCAUUUUUAAUACAGUCUGUAUAAAACAGUAAAUGAUUCAAGAAAAUCUACUGAUGCUGUGGCAUUCAAUGUGGUAAAAAAUAUUCACUAAAUUUUUUCAUAGUUACUUUUUAUAACAAAAUGUGUCUAUUAUCAUAUUAUUAUUAUUAUUCAAUGUUGAAGUAAAAAUAGAAACUAUUGAAAUAUGAUAUCAAAUAAA